UACGUAGGGCGCAAGCGUUGUCCGGAAUUAUUGGGCGUAAAGAGCUCGUAGGCGGUUUGUCGCGUCUGCCGUGAAAGUCCGGGGCUUAACCCCGGAUCUGCGGUGGGUACGGGCAGACUAGAGUGCAGUAGGGGAGACUGGAAUUCCUGGUGUAGCGGUGAAAUGCGCAGAUAUCAGGAGGAACACCGAUGGCGAAGGCAGGUCUCUGGGCUGUAACUGACGCUGAGGAGCGAAAGCAUGGGGAGCGAACAGG
RNAcentral lists this ribosomal RNA (253 nucleotides) under uncultured bacterium. Its description in RNAcentral is "partial 16S ribosomal RNA". It matches the Rfam family "Bacterial small subunit ribosomal RNA", at positions 524 to 776 of the family's 1533-position model. The record is from RNAcentral.